This 571-nucleotide ribosomal RNA is filed under the name Amplimerlinius macrurus. RNAcentral's name for it is "eukaryotic LSU rRNA". It matches the Rfam family "Eukaryotic large subunit ribosomal RNA", at positions 405 to 820 of the family's 3401-position model. Lineage: Eukaryota; Metazoa; Nematoda; Chromadorea; Rhabditida; Merliniidae. The record is from RNAcentral.
CCGGUAAGAUGGAAACGGAUAGAGCAAGCGUAUCUAGCUUGUAUUCAGCCACCCUGGUCUGGGUGCCCUGUUUGCUGGUCCGACUUCGGCCGGUUGGCGGGUGUCUCCUGGGCCUUGGUGGUGCACUUGCAAGUGGAGUGCGCUGAGGCCUGUGGGUCAGCGGUUGGAAGUGCGCUUUGAGGACACCCUUCGGGGUGAAACCCGGGCGUACCCAAGACUGUUUGUCCUGCUUGUACAUGGGUGUGGCCAACGGGCUUGGCUUGGGCUGAGCUGGUCGUCGGUUACAGUCGCAUGCGACACGUGCUGGUGGUCGGUUUGGUUCGGGUCUGGUUCCCUCGCCCUCCCUCGGUGUAAAAGCUUGUCAUCUAUCCGACCCGUCUUGAAACACGGACCAAGGAGUUUAGAGUAUACGCGAGUCAUUGAGUGGAAAACUCAAAGGCGCAAUGAAAGUAAAGGUAUCCCUUGUGGAGCUGAUAUGCGACCUCGGGUGCUUCGGUGCCCGUGAGCAUCAUAGCCCCGUCCCAAUCGCUUGCGAUGGGGCGGAGGUAGAGCGUAUUCUCUGAGACCCGAA